CACUAUCGUUAACUGAAUACAUAGGUUAACGAGGCGAACCGGGGGAACUGAAACAUCUAAGUACCCCGAGGAAAAGAAAUCAACCGAGAUUCCCCCAGUAGCGGCGAGCGAACGGGGAGCAGCCCAGAGUCUGAAUCAGCUUGUGUGUUAGUGGAACGGUCUGGAAAGUCCGACGGUACAGGGUGAUAGUCCCGUACACCAAAAUGCACAGGCUGUGAACUCGAAGAGUAGGGCGGGACACGUGGUAUCCUGUCUGAAUAUGGGGGGACCAUCCUCCAAGGCUAAAUACUCCUGACUGACCGAUAGUGAACCAGUACCGUGAGGGAAAGGCGAAAAGAACCCCGGCGAGGGGAGUGAAAAAGAACCUGAAACCGUGUACGUACAAGCAGUGGGAGCACCUUCGGGUGUGACUGCGUACCUUUUGUAUAAUGGGUCAGCGACUUAUAUUCUGUAGCAAGGUUAACCGUAUAGGGGAGCCGCAGGGAAACCGAGUCUUAACUGGGCGUUAAGUUGCAGGGUAUAGACCCGAAACCCGGUGAUCUAGCCAUGGGCAGGUUGAAGGUUGGGUAACACUAACUGGAGGACCGAACCGACUAAUGUUGAAAAAUUAGCGGAUGACUUGUGGCUGGGGGUGAAAGGCCAAUCAAACCGGGAGAUAGCUGGUUCUCCCCGAAAGCUAUUUAGGUAGCGCCUCGUGAACUCAUCUUCGGGGGUAGAGCACUGUUUCGGCUAGGGGGUCAUCCCGACUUACCAACCCGAUGCAAACUACGAAUACCGAAGAAUGUUAUCACGGGAGACACACGGCGGGUGCUAACGUCCGUCGUGAAGAGGGAAACAACCCAGACCGCCAGCUAAGGUCCCAAAGUCAUGGUUAAGUGGGAAACGAUGUGGGAAGGCACAGACAGCCAGGAUGUUGGCUUAGAAGCAGCCAUCAUUUAAAGAAAGCGUAAUAGCUCACUGGUCGAGUCGGCCUGCGCGGAAGAUGUAACGGGGCUAAACCAUGCACCGAAGCUGCGGCAGCGA
Molecule: ribosomal RNA, 1023 nt
Filed under: Klebsiella pneumoniae
Lineage: Bacteria; Pseudomonadati; Pseudomonadota; Gammaproteobacteria; Enterobacterales; Enterobacteriaceae
Description: partial 23S ribosomal RNA
Rfam family: Bacterial large subunit ribosomal RNA
Source: RNAcentral